Non-coding RNA from Biomphalaria pfeifferi, 1434 nucleotides. The record is from the annotation of a GenBank genome assembly. Lineage: Eukaryota; Metazoa; Mollusca; Gastropoda; Planorbidae.
UAUAAAACAAUGAAUUAAUUGUCAAUAAUUGAUUAUUUAAUUGGUUGUUUUUUUUUAUUAUUAAUUCAUGUGUUAUCUUUGACAAUGAAAAAUUUUGCGAAAUUUCAUCUUGAUCAGAGAAUGGGAGAAAAAAAUGUGUAGAAGUAUCCUCCCAUGCAAAUUGAGUUGAUAAAGGCUUUGUAAAAAAAAAAAAAAAAAAAGUUUCACAGGUACCUUUAAAAGAAGCAUAUAUAAUUUUUUGUUCCUUUUUUCCAGUAUAAAGCAUAUAGGAUUUUUUUUUUUACAUUUAUCUAAACAGUAGCAACUGAAUCACUAAAGUAGUAAACUUUCUAGCCAAUCCACUUCUGGCUUCUUGCACAGCUUAGCUUAAAGUGUUGAUAUGUUAGAGACUCUUUGCAACAAGCAUACACAAAAGUUGGAACUCCAAAAAUUUCAACAAAAACAUUUAAAGGAUUUGACUUUUGUCAAAUGUUCCAGAAUUUAACUAGUUUCAAAUGAUCCAAACUCCAAAGACAAAUUGAAGACAUUUUAUUGAGCAUUCCGUCCAAGAACUAUUUCAAGAUGAACUCCUAUUUAUGAAAUGUAACAUAUUUCAAACAUUCACUUCACACUUCAUUUGUUUUUCUUGUCCAUACUUUUCUUUAGAGUAUGACUAACUUACAAAGAGGUAGUACCAAGCCUUUUAGUGCUGACUAUGAUGCAAGGUGAAACUCAGGUUUAACUGUACACAGGCACAAGUUUAUAGUGGUCAUCAUAAGAAUUAACAUGUACAGAAAUGAAGAUUUAUCUCAAGUACAAUAAUAAAAAUUUUACAUUUGGAACAGAUUAGUUAACAUAUAUUGUGCUUUUCAUAGUCUUAGAAAAUGAUAAAUAAAAUAACAGAAUUAAUAAAAACAAAAAUAAGAAUUAAAUGUGAAAACUGUAUAUGACCAUUUCAUAUUGAUCAAUUCGUAAUAAUGAAUAUUAGUACAUCAAAACAAAGCAUUUAUUUUAUUGCAAAAUGUCUUUUUAUAUAAAAAAAGAAAUUAAUAAAUAAAUGAGUAAUUUAUGUUCAUCAAUAAUAUAAACACAGUCAUUUUAAUUCGUAACAAAAGUAUUAAACAUUUUAACACAUCAUUCACAUUUAGACUAAAAUAUAUUAUAUGUAUAAAAAAUAUAUAUAAAGAACAUGUUUACAACUUAGUAUAUAUACAUACAUUUUUUUUAUAUCUUGAAACGAUGUAGUUAUAAUACAAGAUGAAAAACAUGUUUUUUCGAUGAAAAACUCUCUUGUUUAUCUUAAUAGUUUGUUUUUUUGUUUUAACUAAAUUUUUCAUUUGAGAUCCAGCAGUCAGUGUCAGUACAUGAAGUAAAGAGAGGUUUCUAAGACAAUUAAUGAAUUUCAUGUGUCUAUCAUAACAAAUGAUUAAUUGAUUUUAUUCCCCCCCCCCCCCC